AAAACAGUACAGCCGCAUGGUUUGACACGUGGCGCCUAGGUGCUGGCUAGAUUUUUUAAAUUUUUUUUAAAAUAGUAUAGCCGAGCGGCUAUACUCGCUUUUAACCCCUUUUUUUUUUUGAAAAAAAAAAAUGUUCAGAACUGUACAGCCGCAAGGUUUGACACGUGGCGCCUAGGUGCUGGCUGGAUCCCUAUUAUGUAUAUAAAUAGUACAGCCGCCCGGCUAUAAUAGAUUUUAAAAUUUUUUUUUUUGAAAUAGUAUAGCCGCGCGGCUAUACUCGGUUUUAACCCCUUUUUUUGUUUUUUUAAAAAUGUUCAGAACAGUACGGCCGCAUGGUUUGACACGUGGCGCCUAGGUGCUGGCUGGAUCCCUAUUAUGUAUAUAAAUAGUAUAGCCGCCCGGCUAUACUAGAUUUUCUUAAUUUUUUUUUAAAUAGUAUAGCCGCGCGGCUGUACCCUGCUAACCUAGCGAAUUUUGAAAAUAUAAAAUCAGUUUCUUUACUUUUGAUUUUUGUUGCCAACUUCUUUAAUUUCAUAUAUGUAAUUAAUUUAUAUCUUAGCCUUUUUGAAUUACUUGAAUUAGUAAGUACUUGAAGUUCAAUUUUUUAAAAUAUAUUUGAAGCCCUUGAAUUACUUUAAUUAAGGUCUUGAAGGGCUUAAUGAAUACAUUUAGAGACCUCGAAGGUUACGUAUUAUACAUGUACGUACGUGUUUUUCAUGUUUAACACACGUAUACACGCACAUAUUAUGGAAUAAAAAUAAUAUAUAUUUAAAAAAUACAGUAUAGUGACCGAAUUUUUGGGUUGUAAUGUGCCAAGAUAUUGCCGAAUCAAACACAUACGUAUUUAAUUCGCAUUUUUUUCCCUUCCGUAUUUUACUAACUAUGAAUGAAUGUGAGAGCUCACUUGUUCUAACAAAAAUGCAAGAUAUAUAUUAAGUAAUAUCAUUUAUGAAGUUAAUUAAAAUAUUUAAUAUCAAUUAUUCACUAGAUAAAUAAUAGGUAGGACCUAAUUCAUAAUUCAAGUAAUUAAAUCAGGCUAAGAGAUUGUUUAAUUACUAAAAAUAACCUUUUUUUUUUCUUAAAAAACAUUAUUGACCCUUUUUAAAAUAUAAAAAUAGUAUAGCCGCACGGCUAUACGCGCUUUAAACCCUUUUUUUUCCAGAUUUUAAAAACAGUACAGCCGCAUGGUUUGACACGUGGCGCCUAGGUGCUGGCUAGAUUUUUUAAAUUUUUUUUAAAAUAGUAUAGCCGAGCGGCUAUACUCGCUUUUAACCCCUUUUUUUUUUUGAAAAAAAAAAUGUUCAGAACUGUACAGCCGCAAGGUUUGACACGUGGCGCCUAGGUGCUGGCUGGAUCCCUAUUAUGUAUAUAAAUAGUACAGCCGCCCGGCUAUAAUAGAUUUUAAAAUUUUUUUUUUUGAAAUAGUAUAGCCGCGCGGCUAUACUCGGUUUUAACCCCUUUUUUUGUUUUUUUUAAAAUGUUCAGAACAGUACGGCCGCAUGGUUUGACACGUGGCGCCUAGGUGCUGGCUGGAUCCCUAUUAUGUAUAUAAAUAGUAUAGCCGCCCGGCUAUACUAGAUUUUCUUAAUUUUUUUUUAAAUAGUAUAGCCGCGCGGCUGUACCCUGCUAACCUAGCGAAUUUUGAAAAUAUAAAAUCAGUUUCUUUACUUUUGAUUUUUGUUGCCAACUUCUUUAAUUUCAUAUAUGUAAUUAAUUUAUAUCUUAGCCUUUUUGAAUUACUUGAAUUAGUAAGUACUUGAAGUUCAAUUUUUUUAAAUAUAUUUGAAGCCCUUGAAUUACUUUAAUUAAGGUCUUGAAGGGCUUAAUGAAUACAUUUAGAGACCUCGAAGGUUACGUAUUAUACAUGUACGUACGUGUUUUUCAUGUUUAACACACGUAUACACGCACAUAUUAUGGAAUAAAAAUAAUAUAUAUUUAAAAAAUACAGUAUAGUGACCGAAUUUUUGGGUUGUAAUGUGCCAAGAUAUUGCCGAAUCAAACACAUACGUAUUUAAUUCGCAUUUUUUUCCCUUCCGUAUUUUACUAACUAUGAAUGAAUGUGAGAGCUCACUUGUUCUAACAAAAAUGCAAGAUAUAUAUUAAGUAAUAUCAUUUAUGAAGUUAAUUAAAAUAUUUAAUAUCAAUUAUUCACUAGAUAAAUAAUAGGUAGGACCUAAUUCAUAAUUCAAGUAAUUAAAUCAGGCUAAGAGAUUGUUUAAUUACUAAAAAUAACCUUUUUUUUUUCUUAAAAAACAUUAUUGACCCUUUUUAAAAUAUAAAAAUAGUAUAGCCGCACGGCUAUACGCGCUUUAAACCCUUUUUUUUCCAGAUUUUAAAAACAGUACAGCCGCAUGGUUUGACACGUGGCGCCUAGGUGCUGGCUAGAUUUUUUAAAUUUUUUUUAAAAUAGUAUAGCCGAGCGGCUAUACUCGCUUUUAACCCCUUUUUUUUUUUGAAAAAAAAAAUGUUCAGAACUGUACAGCCGCAAGGUUUGACACGUGGCGCCUAGGUGCUGGCUGGAUCCCUAUUAUGUACAUAAAUAGUACAGCCGCCCGGCUAUAAUAGAUUUUUAAAUUUUUUUUAAAAAUAGUAUAGCCGCGCGGCUAUACUCGCUUUUAAACCCUUUUUUUUUUUUUUUUUUUUUUAUAAAUGUUCAGAACAGUACGGCCGCAUGGUUUGACACGUGGCGCCUAGGUGCUGGCUGGAUCCCUAUUAUGUAUAUAAAUAGUACAGCCGCCCGGCUAUAAUAGAUUUUUAAAUUUUUUUUUUUGAAAUAGUAUAGCCGCGCGGCUAUACUCGGUUUUAACCCCUUUUUUUUGUUUUUUUUAAAAUGUUCAGAACAGUACGGCCGCAUGGUUUGACACGUGGCGCCUAGGUGCUGGCUGGAUCCCUAUUGUGUAUAUAAAUAGUAUAGCCGCCCGGCUAUACUAGAUUUUCUUAAUUUUUUUUUAAAUAGUAUAGCCGCGCGGCUGUACCCUGCUAACCUAGCGAAUUUUGAAAAUAUAAAAUCAGUUUCUUUACUUUUGAUUUUUGUUGCCAACUUCUUUAAUUUCAUAUAUGUAAUUAAUUUAUAUCUUAGCCUUUUUGAAUUACUUGAAUUAGUAAGUACUUGAAGUUCAAUUUUUUUAAAUAUAUUUGAAGCCCUUGAAUUACUUUAAUUAAGGUCUUGAAGGGCUUAAUGAAUACAUUUAGAGACCUCGAAGGUUACGUAUUAUACAUGUACGUACGUGUUUUUCAUGUUUAACACACGUAUACACGCACAUAUUAUGGAAUAAAAAUAAUAUAUAUUUAAAAAAUACAGUAUAGUGACCGAAUUUUUGGGUUGUAAUGUGCCAAGAUAUUGCCGAAUCAAACACAUACGUAUUUAAUUCGCAUUUUUUUCCCUUCCGUAUUUUACUAACUAUGAAUGAAUGUGAGAGCUCACUUGUUCUAACAAAAAUGCAAGAUAUAUAUUAAGUAAUAUCAUUUAUGAAGUUAAUUAAAAUAUUUAAUAUCAAUUAUUCACUAGAUAAAUAAUAGGUAGGACCUAAUUCAUAAUUCAAGUAAUUAAAUCAGGCUAAGAGAUUGUUUAAUUACUAAAAAUAACCUUUUUUUUUUCUUAAAAAACAUUAUUGACCCUUUUUAAAAUAUAAAAAUAGUAUAGCCGCACGGCUAUACGCGCUUUAAACCCUUUUUUUUCCAGAUUUUAAAAACAGUACAGCCGCAUGGUUUGACACGUGGCGCCUAGGUGCUGGCUAGAUUUUUUAAAUUUUUUUUAAAAUAGUAUAGCCGAGCGGCUAUACUCGCUUUUAACCCCUUUUUUUUUUUGAAAAAAAAAAUGUUCAGAACUGUACAGCCGCAAGGUUUGACACGUGGCGCCUAGGUGCUGGCUGGAUCCCUAUUAUGUACAUAAAUAGUACAGCCGCCCGGCUAUAAUAGAUUUUUAAAUUUUUUUUAAAAAUAGUAUAGCCGCGCGGCUAUACUCGCUUUUAAACCCUUUUUUUUUUUUUUUUUUUUUUAUAAAUGUUCAGAACAGUACGGCCGCAUGGUUUGACACGUGGCGCCUAGGUGCUGGCUGGAUCCCUAUUAUGUAUAUAAAUAGUACAGCCGCCCGGCUAUAAUAGAUUUUUAAAUUUUUUUUUUUGAAAUAGUAUAGCCGCGCGGCUAUACUCGGUUUUAACCCCUUUUUUUUGUUUUUUUUAAAAUGUUCAGAACAGUACGGCCGCAUGGUUUGACACGUGGCGCCUAGGUGCUGGCUGGAUCCCUAUUGUGUAUAUAAAUAGUAUAGCCGCCCGGCUAUACUAGAUUUUCUUAAUUUUUUUUUAAAUAGUAUAGCCGCGCGGCUGUACCCUGCUAACCUAGCGAAUUUUGAAAAUAUAAAAUCAGUUUCUUUACUUUUGAUUUUUGUUGCCAACUUCUUUAAUUUCAUAUAUGUAAUUAAUUUAUAUCUUAGCCUUUUUGAAUUACUUGAAUUAGUAAGUACUUGAAGUUCAAUUUUUUUAAAUAUAUUUGAAGCCCUUGAAUUACUUUAAUUAAGGUCUUGAAGGGCUUAAUGAAUACAUUUAGAGACCUCGAAGGUUACGUAUUAUACAUGUACGUACGUGUUUUUCAUGUUUAACACACGUAUACACGCACAUAUUAUGGAAUAAAAAUAAUAUAUAUUUAAAAAAUACAGUAUAGUGACCGAAUUUUUGGGUUGUAAUGUGCCAAGAUAUUGCCGAAUCAAACACAUACGUAUUUAAUUCGCAUUUUUUUCCCUUCCGUAUUUUACUAACUAUGAAUGAAUGUGAGAGCUCACUUGUUCUAACAAAAAUGCAAGAUAUAUAUUAAGUAAUAUCAUUUAUGAAGUUAAUUAAAAUAUUUAAUAUCAAUUAUUCACUAGAUAAAUAAUAGGUAGGACCUAAUUCAUAAUUCAAGUAAUUAAAUCAGGCUAAGAGAUUGUUUAAUUACUAAAAAUAACCUUUUUUUUUUUCUUAAAAAACAUUAUUGACCCUUUUUAAAAUAUAAAAAUAGUAUAGCCGCACGGCUAUACUCGCUUUAAACCCUUUUUUUUCCAGAUUUUAAAAACAGUACAGCCGCAUGGUUUGACACGUGGCGCCUAGGUGCUGGCUAGAUUUUUUUAAUUUUUUUAAAAAUAGUAUAGCCGAGCGGCUAUACUCGCUUCAAAAAAAAAAUGUUCAGAACUGUACAGCCGCAAGGUUUGACACGUGGCGCCUGGGUGCUGGCUGGAUCCCUAUUAUGUAUAUAAAUAGUACAGCCGCCCGGCUAUAAUAGAUUUUUAAAUUUUUUUUAAAAAUAGUAUAGCCGCGCGGCUAUACUCGCUUUUAAACCCUUUUUUUUUUUUUUUUUUUUUUUUUUAUAAAUGUUCAGAACAGUACGGCCGCAUGGUUUGACACGUCGCGCCUAGGUGCUGGCUGGAUCCCUAUUAUGUAUAUAAAUAGUACAGCCGCCCGGGUAUAAUAGAUUUUUAAAAUUUUUUUUUUGAAAUAGUAUAGCCGCGCGGCUAUACUCGGUUUUAACCCCUUUUUGUUUUUUAAAAAAUGUUCAAAACAGUACGGCCGCAUGGUUUGACACGUGGCGCCCAAGUGCUGGCUGGAUCCCUAUUGUGUAUAUAAAUAGUAUAGCCGCCCGGCUAUACUAGAUUUUCUUAAUUUUUUUUUAAAUAGUAUAGCCGCGCGGCUUUACCCUGCUAACCUAGCGAAUUUUGAAAAUAUAAAAUCAGUUUCUUUACUUUUGAUUUUUGUUGCCAACUUCUUUAAUUUCAUAUAUGUAAUUAAUUUAUAUCUUAGCCUUUUUGAAUUACUUGAAUUAGUAAGUACUUGAAGUUCAAUUUUUUUAAAUAUAUUUGAAGCCCUUGAAUUACUUUAAUUAAGGUCUUGAAGGGCUUAAUGAAUACAUUUAGAGACCUCGAAGGUUACGUAUUAUACAUGUACGUACGUGUUUUUCAUGUUUAACACACGUAUACACGCACAUAUUAUGGAAUAAAAAUAAUAUAUAUUUAAAAAAUACAGUAUAGUGACCGAAUUUUUGGGUUGUAAUGUGCCAAGAUAUUGCCGAAUCAAACACAUACGUAUUUAAUUCGCAUUUUUUUCCCUUCCGUAUUUUACUAACUAUGAAUGAAUGUGAGAGCUCACUUGUUCUAACAAAAAUGCAAGAUAUAUAUUAAGUAAUAUCAUUUAUGAAGUUAAUUAAAAUAUUUAAUAUCAAUUAUUCACUAGAUAAAUAAUAGGUAGGACCUAAUUCAUAAUUCAAGUAAUUAAAUCAGGCUAAGAGAUUGUUUAAUUACUAAAAAUAACCUUUUUUUUUUCUUAAAAAACAUUAUUGACCCUUUUUAAAAUAUAAAAAUAGUAUAGCCGCACGGCUAUACGCGCUUUAAACCCUUUUUUUUCCAGAUUUUAAAAACAGUACAGCCGCAUGGUUUGACACGUGGCGCCUAGGUGCUGGCUAGAUUUUUUAAAUUUUUUUAAAAAUAGUAUAGCCGAGCGGCUAUACUCGCUUUUAACCCUUUUUUUUUUUUUUGAAAAAAAAAAUGUUCAGAACUGUACAGCCGCAAGGUUUGACACGUGGCGCCUAGGUGCUGGCUGGAUCCCUAUUAUGUAUAUAAAUAGUACAGCCGCCCGGCUAUAAUAGAUUUUUAAAUUUUUUUUAAAAAUAGUAUAGCCGCGCGGCUAUACUCGCUUUUAAACCCUUUUUUUUUUUUUUUUUUUUUUUAUAAAUGUUCAGAACAGUACGGCCGCAUGGUUUGACACGUGGCGCCUAGGUGCUGGCUGGAUCCCUAUUAUGUAUAUAAAUAGUACAGCCGCCCGGCUAUAAUAGAUUUUUAAAUUUUUUUUUUGAAAUAGUAUAGCCGCGCGGCUAUACUCGGUUUUAACCCCUUUUUUUUUUAAAAAAAAUGUUCAGAACAGUACGGCCGCAUGGUUUGACACGUGGCGCCUAGGUGCUGGCUGGAUCCCUAUUAUGUAUAUAAAUAGUAUAGCCGCCCGGCUAUACUAGAUUUUCUUAUUUUUUUUUUAAAUAGUAUAGCCGCGCGGCUGUACCCUGCUAACCUAGCGAAUUUUGAAAAUAUAAAAUCAGUUUCUUUACUUUUGAUUUUUGUUGCCAACUUCUUUAAUUUCAUAUAUGUAAUUAAUUUAUAUCUUAGCCUUUUUGAAUUACUUUAAUUAGUAAGUACUUGAAGUUCAAUUUUUUUAAAUAUAUUUGAAGCCCUUGAAUUACUUUAAUUAAGGUCUUGAAGGGCUUAAUGAAUACAUUUAGAGACCUCGAAGGUUACGUAUUAUACAUGUACGUACGUGUUUUUCAUGUUUAACACACGUAUACACGCACAUAUUAUGGAAUAAAAAUAAUAUAUAUUUAAAAAAUACAGUAUAGUGACCGAAUUUUUGGGUUGUAAUGUGCCAAGAUAUUGCCGAAUCAAACACAUACGUAUUUAACUCGCAUUUUUUUCCCUUCCGUAUUUUACUAACUAUGAAUGAAUGUGAGAGCUCACUUGUUCUAACAAAAAUGCAAGAUAUAUAUUAAGUAAUAUCAUUUAUGAAGUUAAUUAAAAUAUUUAAUAUCAAUUAUUCACUAGAUAAAUAAUAGGUAGGACCUAAUUCAUAAUUCAAGUAAUUAAAUCAGGCUAAGAGAUUGUUUAAUUACUAAAAAUAACCUUUUUUUUUUUCUUAAAAAACAUUAUUGACCCUUUUUAAAAUAUAAAAAUAGUAUAGCCGCACGGCUAUACGCGCUUUAAACCCUUUUUUUUCCAGAUUUUAAAAACAGUACAGCCGCAUGGUUUGACACGUGGCGCCUAGGUGCUGGCUAGAUUUUUUAAAUUUUUUUUAAAAUAGUAUAGCCGAGCGGCUAUACUCGCUUUUAACCCCUUUUUUUUUUUGAAAAAAAAAAAUGUUCAGAACUGUACAGCAGCAAGGUUUGACACGUGGCGCCUAGGUGCUGGCUGGAUCCCUAUUAUGUAUAUAAAUAGUACAGCCGCCCGGCUAUAAUAGAUUUUUAAAUUUUUUUUUUUGAAAUAGUAUAGCCGCGCGGCUAUACUCGGUUUUAACCCCUUUUUUUUGUUUUUUUUAAAAUGUUCAGAACAGUACGGCCGCAUGGUUUGACACGUGGCGCCUAGGUGCUGGCUGGAUCCCUAUUAUGUAUAUAAAUAGUAUAGCCGCCCGGCUAUACUAGAUUUUCUUAAUUUUUUUUUAAAUAGUAUAGCCGCGCGGCU
This 8182-nucleotide long non-coding RNA is filed under the name Prunus persica (peach). Its description in RNAcentral is "long non-coding RNA (PPER_LNC004147)". Lineage: Eukaryota; Viridiplantae; Streptophyta; Magnoliopsida; Rosales; Rosaceae. The record is from RNAcentral.